This is a non-coding RNA of Gasterosteus aculeatus aculeatus (three-spined stickleback), 150 nucleotides long. Lineage: Eukaryota; Metazoa; Chordata; Actinopteri; Perciformes; Gasterosteidae. The record is from RefSeq and is a predicted model, not a curated record.
GAACGAGAUGGGACGUAGUAACUCCACCUUACGUCUGAUUACUUCUUCAGAAAAAGGAGGCUCCUCAUGGUCAAAAACAACAGCAGCUGUUGCGUUUACAUCUGUUAUUCUCCUGGUGAUCAUCAUCCUCGCUGCCUUCCUCUUGAUCAG